GUGCUUGCUUUGGCAGCACAUAUACAAAAAUUGGAAUGAUACAGAGAAGAUUAGCAUGGACCCUGCACAGAGACAACAAGAAAAUUCAUGAAGCAUUCCAUAUUCUU
Molecule: small nuclear RNA, 107 nt
Organism: Otolemur garnettii (small-eared galago)
Lineage: Eukaryota; Metazoa; Chordata; Mammalia; Primates; Galagidae
Source: Ensembl